GACGAACGCUGGCGGCGUGCCUAAUACAUGCAAGUUGAGCGAUGAAGAUUGGUGCUUGCACCAAUUUGAAGAGCAGCGAACGGGUGAGUAACGCGUGGGGAAUCUGCCUUUGAGCGGGGGACAACAUUUGGAAACGAAUGCUAAUACCGCAUAACAACUUUAAACAUAAGUUUUAAGUUUGAAAGAUGCAAUUGCAUCACUCAAAGAUGAUCCCGCGUUGUAUUAGCUAGUUGGUGAGGUAAAGGCCCACCAAGGCGAUGAUACAUAGCCGACCUGAGAGGGUGAUCGGCCACAUUGGGACUGAGACACGGCCCAAACUCCUACGGGAGGCAGCAGUAGGGAAUCUUCGGCAAUUGACGAAAGUCUUACCGAGCAACGCCGCGUGAGUGAAGAAGGUUUUCGGAUCGUAAAACUCUGUUGGUAGGGAAGAACGUUGGUGAGAGUGGAAAGCUCAUCAAGUGACGGUAACUACCCAGAAAGGGACGGCUAACUACGUG
This 497-nucleotide ribosomal RNA is filed under the name uncultured bacterium. Its description in RNAcentral is "partial 16S ribosomal RNA". It matches the Rfam family "Bacterial small subunit ribosomal RNA", at positions 28 to 507 of the family's 1533-position model. The record is from RNAcentral.